Molecule: ribosomal RNA, 458 nt
Filed under: uncultured bacterium
Lineage: Bacteria
Description: bacterial SSU rRNA
Rfam family: Bacterial small subunit ribosomal RNA
Source: RNAcentral
UACGGAAGGCAGGCAGUGGGGAAUAUUGCACAAUGGGCGAAAGCCUGAUGCAGCUAUGCCGCGUGUAUGAAGAAGGCCUUAGGGUUGUAAAGUACUUUCAUCGGGGAGGAAAAAACAAAACUAAUAAUUUUAUUUCUUGACGUUACCCGAAAAAGAAGCACCGGCUAACUCCGUGCCAGCAGCCGCGGUAAUACGGAGGGUGCUAGCGUUAAUCAGAAUUACUGGGCGUAAAGAGCACGUAGGUGGUUUUUUUAAGUCAGAUGUGAAAUCCCCUGGGCUUAACCUAGGAACUGCAUUUUGAAACUGAAAUACUAGAGUAUCGUAGAGGGAGGUAGAAUUCUAGGUGUAGCGGUGAAAUGCGUAGAUAUCUGGAGGAAUACCUGUGGCGAAAGCGGCCUCCUAAACGAAUACUGACACUGAGGUGCGAAAGCGUGGGGAGCAAACAGGGAUUAGAUACC